AAAGGAGAGAGUUUAAAACCGAUUAAAGCCAAGCCUCUGGCCUGGAAAAUUAUCUUUGGCUACAGUUGUGGGAUCAUCAUCUGGACCUUGCUGUGCUGACUAGCUGGUGUCUGUGGGGUAAAAGUGUGACUUUAUCUUAGUUGAAAGUUUUACAAACUUUUGGAGUUCAACAUCAGGAAGUUCUACCGUGUGGCUUGGAUAUGAAGAAUGUGCAAUGCAUCGCAUUGGAGAAAUGAAGGAACAGUGGGAAGAAAAGGAGGAGAAAGAAGAAUAACAUGUGGCUAAGAAAAGGAAACCUAUUUUGGCACUGUUUGAACCCUCUUUGUAGCUGCUUGUAUAUGUUAUAAAGAAAAAAUAUAUUAUUUUGAAUAACAAAGACAAACAGAGAGAGAGAGAGAGAGCUCUCACACCAAGAACCCUAGAAUAUUCAUGAUGCAUUGGUUCCACUUCAGAAAUAAGGCCAAAUAAUUCAGAAUUCCAAAAUCUGGAGAGAAAUUCAGAUGAAGAGAAUGUUGGAAACAUCAGCUAUUAAAGGCCAAAGAGGGCCAUCCCUUCCAAAGGCUGGGGAAGAAGUUACUGGCGUCACUUGACCUUACAAGGCACCAACCAGAAAGUAAUAACAAAGCCACUGGGUCUAUUUUCUCUUCAGCACUCAUGCAGUGUAGAUUCCAUUAAUGUCAAUAGGGGACUACAGACUUUCAUGGAAGGGAGUUUAUCCUCCAGUGUUGAAAGUGAUUGAUUACCAUUAGGACUUUGGGAA
Hemicordylus capensis (graceful crag lizard) is the source of this 760-nucleotide long non-coding RNA. RefSeq lists it as uncharacterized. The record is from RefSeq and is a predicted model, not a curated record. Lineage: Eukaryota; Metazoa; Chordata; Lepidosauria; Squamata; Cordylidae. The transcript has 3 exons.